Molecule: ribosomal RNA, 492 nt
Filed under: Salmonella enterica subsp. enterica serovar Muenchen
Lineage: Bacteria; Pseudomonadati; Pseudomonadota; Gammaproteobacteria; Enterobacterales; Enterobacteriaceae
Also listed under: 3 other names
Description: bacterial SSU rRNA
Rfam family: Bacterial small subunit ribosomal RNA
Source: RNAcentral
AAAUUGAAGAGUUUGAUCAUGGCUCAGAUUGAACGCUGGCGGCAGGCCUAACACAUGCAAGUCGAACGGUAGCACAGAGAGCUUGCUCUCGGGUGACGAGUGGCGGACGGGUGAGUAAUGUCUGGGAAACUGCCUGAUGGAGGGGGAUAACUACUGGAAACGGUGGCUAAUACCGCAUAACGUCGCAAGACCAAAGAGGGGGACCUUCGGGCCUCUUGCCAUCAGAUGUGCCCAGAUGGGAUUAGCUAGUUGGUGAGGUAACGGCUCACCAAGGCGACGAUCCCUAGCUGGUCUGAGAGGAUGACCAGCCACACUGGAACUGAGACACGGUCCAGACUCCUACGGGAGGCAGCAGUGGGGAAUAUUGCACAAUGGGCGCAAGCCUGAUGCAGCCAUGCCGCGUGUAUGAAGAAGGCCUUCGGGUUGUAAAGUACUUUCAGCGGGGAGGAAGGUGUUGUGGUUAAUAACCGCAGCAAUUGACGUUACCCGCAG